Molecule: ribosomal RNA, 301 nt
Filed under: uncultured bacterium
Lineage: Bacteria
Description: partial 16S ribosomal RNA
Rfam family: Bacterial small subunit ribosomal RNA
Source: RNAcentral
CAGCCGCCGCGGUAAUACGUAGGGUGCGAGCGUUAAUCGGAAUUACUGGGCGUAAAGCGUGCGCAGGCGGUUGUGUAAGACAGGUGUGAAAUCCCCGGGCUUAACCUGGGAACUGCGCUUGUGACUGCACAGCUAGAGUAUGGCAGAGGGGGGUGGAAUUCCACGUGUAGCAGUGAAAUGCGUAGAGAUGUGGAGGAACGCCGAUGGCGAAGGCAGCCCCCUGGGCCAAUACUGACGCUCAUGCACGAAAGCGUGGGGAGCAGACAGGAUUAGAUACCCGUGUAGUCCCUGUCUCUUAUAC